AGCUUUGUGGCCUAAUGGUUAGCGUGUUGGACUCCGGAUCGAGCGGUCCGGGUUCGAGUGCUGGUGCCCGGCCGGGUCA
This is a non-coding RNA of Desmophyllum pertusum, 79 nucleotides long. NCBI's taxonomy places the organism in Eukaryota, Metazoa, Cnidaria, Anthozoa, Scleractinia, Caryophylliidae. The record is from the annotation of a GenBank genome assembly.